CUCAGUCACUGACAACACCAAAGCUAGAAUUAGUGUCUUGAGACAUUUUCUGACGACGAAUUGAGCUUGAAAAUCCUUAACGAUAGGCUGUGGGGUCAGUACGAGAUGUGUGAUCACCGGCUCCAGUACAUGGUUCCGUCGUUAUCUGUGCAACUAUCGCUUCCUUUUUAACCAAAAUGAAAUGACGAUUUAAGUCAACUACUGACAUUAAACAGCGUGGAUGACUGUCAUCUAAAAUAUCAGCUUCGUGAGGUAUAAAAACACCAGUUACU
RNAcentral lists this unclassified non-coding RNA (272 nucleotides) under Actinia tenebrosa (Australian red waratah sea anemone). RNAcentral describes it as "adenosine receptor A2b-like, transcript variant X6". The record is from RNAcentral. Lineage: Eukaryota; Metazoa; Cnidaria; Anthozoa; Actiniaria; Actiniidae.